GUGCGGCCAUUCCCAAAGCGGAGGAAAAGAAACCAACAGGGAUUGCCUUAGUAGCGGCGAGUGAAGCGGCAAAAGCUCAAAUUUGAAAUCUGGCUCUUUCAGAGUCCGAGUUGUAAUUUGAAGAAGGUAUCUUUGGGUCUGGCUCUUGUCUAUGUUUCUUGGAACAGAACGUCACAGAGGGUGAGAAUCCCGUGCGAUGAGAUGAUCCAGGCCUAUGUAAAGUUCCUUCGAAGAGUCGAGUUGUUUGGGAAUGCAGCUCUAAGUGGGUGGUAAAUUCCAUCUAAAGCUAAAUAUUGGCGAGAGACCGAUAGCGAACAAGUACAGUGAUGGAAAGAUGAAAAGAACUUUGAAAAGAGAGUGAAAAAGUACGUGAAAUUGUUGAAAGGGAAGGGCUUGAGAUCAGACUUGGUAUUUUGUAUGUUACUUCUUCGGGGGUGGCCUCUACAGUUUAUCGGGCCAGCAUCAGUUUGGGCGGUAGGAGAAUUGCGUUGGAAUGUGGCACGGCUUCGGUUGUGUGUUAUAGCCUUCGUCGAUACUGCCAGCCUAGACUGAGGACUGCGGUUUAUACCUAGGAUGUUGGCAUAAUGAUCUUAAGUCGCCCGUCUUGAACACGGGGAACCAAAA
RNAcentral lists this ribosomal RNA (624 nucleotides) under Candida tropicalis. Its description in RNAcentral is "eukaryotic LSU rRNA". It matches the Rfam family "Eukaryotic large subunit ribosomal RNA", at positions 33 to 664 of the family's 3401-position model. Lineage: Eukaryota; Fungi; Ascomycota; Pichiomycetes; Serinales; Debaryomycetaceae. The record is from RNAcentral.